This 498-nucleotide ribosomal RNA is filed under the name uncultured bacterium. Its description in RNAcentral is "partial 16S ribosomal RNA". It matches the Rfam family "Bacterial small subunit ribosomal RNA", at positions 29 to 523 of the family's 1533-position model. The record is from RNAcentral.
AUUGAACGCUGGCGGCAUGCUUUACACAUGCAAGUCGAACGGUAACAGGCCGCAAGGUGCUGACGAGUGGCGAACGGGUGAGUAAUGCAUCGGAACGUGCCCAGUCGUGGGGGAUAACGCAGCGAAAGCUGUGCUAAUACCGCAUACGAUCUAUGGAUGAAAGCGGGGGACCGUAAGGCCUCGCGCGAUUGGAGCGGCCGAUGUCAGAUUAGCUAGUUGGUGGGGUAAAGGCCCACCAAGGCGACGAUCUGUAGCUGGUCUGAGAGGACGACCAGCCACACUGGGACUGAGACACGGCCCAGAAUCCUACGGGAGGCAGCAGUGGGGAAUUGUGGACAAUGGGCGCAAGCCUGAUCCAGCAAUGCCGCGUGCAGGAAGAAGGCCUUCGGGUUGUAAACUGCUUUUGUACGGAACGAAACGGUCUGGGUUAAUACCCUGGGCUAAUGACGGUACCGUAAGAAUAAGCACCGGCUAACUACGUGCCAGCCGCCGCAGUAA